RNAcentral lists this long non-coding RNA (2864 nucleotides) under Mus musculus (house mouse). RNAcentral's name for it is "long non-coding RNA chr1:170867866-170870730". Lineage: Eukaryota; Metazoa; Chordata; Mammalia; Rodentia; Muridae. The record is from RNAcentral.
GAUCCAAAGCUAAGGAGACGUCAGCAGAUAAGCAAACUCAAUAGACUUGUGAGUAAAUAUUUCCCUACGAGGAUUUCAGCACUUUCUGUCCCGCUGUGGGGUUUUGUGGUUGUUCUUUUUUGUUUCUCUCUCCCUCUCUCUCUUUUUUUUUUUAAAUUGAGCGAAGAGCACGCAGAUUUUACCGCUUUGUUAAAAUUCGCUGAUAGUACUAAAACUGAAAAGUCUCCUGAUCAUAGUGGCUUGUUCUUUGUGCUUAAUACUACGAUAUAGACAUCUCAGAACGAAAUUAGAAAUUGACAGUAAACCUGAUUCUGUAUUUAUAAAUGCUUUUCAAUCGCUGUAAAAAUUUUCCACGUACACGGUAAAUAAAGAAAAAUACAAAUUUCCGACAUGUGUUAGAACCACUCCUUUACUGGGACAGAAUCCGAGGUAAACUUUCUCACAAAUAAUACUUGUAGAAAACCCACCUUCAAACAAAUUUAAACAAAGAAAAUAUAUAAGAUAAAUUCUCCAUGUCCGCACUUACCUCCUAAAGAAGAGUUUCUAAAACUCGCAAUAAGCUGUCAAUCUCUUAUUACUAAAAUCCAAAAUUCUAAAUAUUUUUAGAGAAGAAUCAUGCAUCACGGAUUCCAACUGGAAAAUGUGAGCAAUUUGAAACAACAGUUUCGAGAACCUACUUAGUGUUGUUUACUUUUCGGUUUUACUCGAUUUCAGUAGCCAGGGACUGCAUUCAAACCCAGACGGUGAAUGAACACGGAUCCCUCUAGGACCGAGAGGAACUUUUCCCAUGGUUACAAACAAACAUAAAUGCUUCCCAGAAUCCUCCGAGCUCCUCGUGGCUGCGGUUACUACCGAUUGCGAUUGCGGAAUGCAACAAGGUGAGAGGAAAGCCAGGUCAGAAUUCGUGAAGUCCGGCUGGGACCACACCCGCAUACACACGUGCAAUGCACCGCCCGCGCGCACAUACAUACAUAUAUACAUACACACACAUACAUACACACAUACAUACACACAUGCAUGUGCAAUACGCAGCACGCGCGUGCACAUACAUGCAUACAUACACGAACACACGCACACUCGCGAUUCUGAAGUCCCCCUACGACAAAUGACAUUCCUUUCGUCGUUGGAAUUAUAUAUAUAUAAAUUUUAAAAAAAAAAUUUUUUUUUCGAGACAGGAUUUCUCUGUGUAGCCCUGGCUGUCCUGGAACUCUGUAGCCUCAGAAAUCCGCCUGCCUCUGCCUCCCGAGUGCUGAGAUUAAAGGCGUGUACCACCACCGCCCAGCCUUUAGUCCAUUUUUUAUAUUUACUUUUACCAUGUUUAAACCUGUUUGUAAAUAUAUAUGUUGAGUGUUGGGGAAUUUCUUUUUUAAUUCACAUAAAUGUAUAACACGGAAAUGUUCUCCAAAUUAUUGUCACUAGGCAUUCAUUACUCUUUGAAGCUCUCUCGGGGUUUUAAUUUCUACAUUCCCUUAAAUACAUAGCAUCAUACUUGUUUACCUGAGACGGACAUCUGGGUCUUUGAAUUGUUUACCAGUACAUAAGAUAUAUUCUCUGCAACUCUGCCUUUCACAUGUGUGCUGGGUCACUUGCUAAAUUAGCAGUUUACAUCCUCACCAACAUAUACGCCAAGACUAGAUAUGAUCAGACUUUUACAAUUUCUGUCACUAUGAAUCGGUGUGACUAUAGUUUACAUUUCUCUGGCUGAAUUCCUUCAUGUUCAUUAGACUGUGCCCUGUUGUGACCCACCCACUCUUUCAUAAAGUGUGCUACUCGGUCCCCUUCUCCUAGUGAUGUGCAGGUAGGUCUCCACAUAGCCUACUUAAUUCAUUUUACUGAUGUAUAUGUUGCAUCUUCUCCUAGCUUAGCAUUUGUCUUUAUUUAUAGGGGUUCUGCUCUCUCUAGCUGGUGAGUGUAGUGAAUUUGUCAACCUUUUAUUAUGGGUCUGAUACUUGUAUUUUAAGAAAUCCUUGCCUAUUCUGAGGUCAUUAAGGAUUUCCUCUUCAUACUUUAUAGUUUAGUUUUCAUUAUUUCUGUUACGUGGUAUCUUGAAUAUAAUGACACUAUUGACUUUUGUACCACACUCUUGUGCCCAAAACCCUUGCUGAAUUCGGUUACUGUUACACUUGGCCUGUGUGCUUGCUUCUUAGGAUUUCCCACUUAAAAGAGUCUUACGUUGUUCAGACAGUAACCCUUUAACAUUUAACAAAGACAAGUAUGGUGGAUCCCCAUGCUACUACCACCCCAGCCUCAACCAUUUGUCAUUCCUGUUUCAUCUAUCCUCCCUCCCAGAACCUUUAUGUUAAGAGUGCUUGCUAUUCUUGCAGAGGACCUGGGUUCAGUUCUCAGCUCCCACAUGACAGCACACAACCAUCUGUAACUCUAGUUCCAGGGGGCAGGACGCUCUUUUCUGCUCCAAGGGAUCCUCCACAUAUGUGGGGCACAUAAACUCAAACAAAUUUACACACAUACGCGUAAAAAUGAAAUUAUAAUGUCUAUCUAGAGUUGGCUUGUGCAAAUGAAGUUAGAUCAAUGCUGUUUAACUGACUUCCAUAGGCCCACUUCCCUUGGUGCCAGAUGUUGAAGAAACCUAAGUCUUGUCUGUAUAACUGCCUACUUUGUAAGUCUGCCAACUAUAGGGAUUUUUAAUUUGUUCCUAAAGCUACCAGUUUUACACUGGGGAGACUUAACUUUUAUUUUUGCAGAAUUCUUCACAAUUCUAAAUUCAAACCUGACUCCAAGGUCACUAUGAAAGUAUGUUCAUUAAAAGAGUAAAACCAUUUAUUGGUCAUGAAUAUGUAACCUGGAGAUAAUUGGUAAGCCUUAGUUUAUACUCUAGUGGUAACCUACCAAUCACUACUGGCUUG